UGGUGGAGUGAUUUGUCUGGUUAAUUCCGUUAACGAACGAGACCUCAGCCUACUAAAUAGUCCGGGUAGCAUUCGUGCUGCCUCUUGGACUUCUUAGAGGGACAUUCGGUUUCUAGCCGAAGGAAGUUUGAGGCAAUAACA
Molecule: ribosomal RNA, 141 nt
Filed under: uncultured eukaryote
Lineage: Eukaryota
Description: partial 18S ribosomal RNA
Rfam family: Eukaryotic small subunit ribosomal RNA
Source: RNAcentral